GGCAUUGUGGCUCAGUGGUAGAUCACCUCCCUAGUAUGUAUGAGGUACUGGGUUCAAUUCUCAGCACCA
RNAcentral lists this transfer RNA (69 nucleotides) under Marmota monax (woodchuck). RNAcentral's name for it is "tRNA.Thr". Lineage: Eukaryota; Metazoa; Chordata; Mammalia; Rodentia; Sciuridae. The record is from RNAcentral.